AUUGAACGCUGGCGGCAGGCCUCACACAUGCAAGUCGAGCGCGCGGCGGACGGGUGAGUAAUGUCUGGGAAACUGCCUGAUGGAGGGGGAUAACUCCUGGAAACGGUCGCUAAUACCGCAUACCAUCAGAUGUGCCCCGGUGGGAUUAGCUAGUAGGUGGGGUAACGGCUCACCUAGGCGACGAUCCCUAGCUGGUCUGAGAGGAUGACCAGCAAAACGGGAACUGAGACACGGUCCAGACUCCAACGGGAGGCAGCAGUGGGGAAUAUUGCACAAUGGGCGCAAGCCUGAUGCAGCCAUGCCGCGUGUGGGAAGAAGGCCUUCGGGGUGUAAAGCACUUUCAGCGGGGAGGCGUUACCCGCAGAAGAAGCACCGGCGAACUCCGUGCCAGCAGCCGCGGUAAUAC
Molecule: ribosomal RNA, 406 nt
Filed under: uncultured bacterium
Lineage: Bacteria
Description: partial 16S ribosomal RNA
Rfam family: Bacterial small subunit ribosomal RNA
Source: RNAcentral